AGAGCAACUGACUUGUAAUCAGUAGGUCACCAGUUCGAUUCCGGUAGUCGGCACCA
Molecule: transfer RNA, 56 nt
Filed under: Vibrio crassostreae 9ZC13
Lineage: Bacteria; Pseudomonadati; Pseudomonadota; Gammaproteobacteria; Vibrionales; Vibrionaceae
Description: tRNA-Ser
Rfam family: tRNA
About the family: Transfer RNA (tRNA) molecules are approximately 80 nucleotides in length. Their secondary structure includes four short double-helical elements and three loops (D, anti-codon, and T loops).
Source: RNAcentral